This 772-nucleotide ribosomal RNA is filed under the name uncultured Neocallimastigales. RNAcentral's name for it is "partial large subunit ribosomal RNA". The stretch from base 6 to 662 matches the Rfam family "Eukaryotic large subunit ribosomal RNA", at positions 24 to 664 of the family's 3401-position model. Lineage: Eukaryota; Fungi; Neocallimastigomycota; Neocallimastigomycetes; Neocallimastigales. The record is from RNAcentral.
GUAGUCUCGCACAGAUGCAUAUCAAUAAGCGGAGGAAAAGAAACUAACAAGGAUUCCCUCAGUAACGGCGAGUGAAGCGGGAAGAGCUCAAAUUUGAAAUCUUGAAAGGUCACCUUUCACGAAUUGUAGUUUAAAGAAGUGUUUUCUGUUACGAUCGUAAUAUAAGUUCUUUGGAAUAGGACAUCACAGAGGGUGAGAAUCCCGUCUAUGAUUGCGAUUUGUAGCUUUGUGAUACACUUUCAAAGAAUCGGGUUGUUUGGGAAUGCAGCCCAAAACGGGAGGUAAAUUUCUUCUAAGGCUAAAUAUUGGCGAGAGACCGAUAGCGAACAAGUACCGUGAGGGAAAGAUGAAAAGAACUUUGAAAAGAGAGUUAAAUAGUACGUGAAAUUGUCAAAAGGGAAGCGUUUAACACCAGUGUUGUUUUCUGAAAAUCAACCUCUGUUAGCUUUACUGCAUGUUUGUUUAGACCUAAUCAGCUAUCUUGCAUGUUCUAUUGUUUGCAGUGGUGCACUUUUCAGUUUACAGGUCAACAUCAGUUUUUUUUACCGUAAAAAAGUUAAAGAAAGGUAGCUCAUGGCUCCGGUCGUGAGUGUUAUAGUCUUUUUCCUAUGCGGUAGGAGAGACUGAGGUCUGCAGUGUAGGCUAUUUGGCUAGAUACUCAGGUGCUAUGUGAUACCAUUUCAUAAACAACUUGUUGAUUAUGUUUUGUCUAUUGCAUACUCGCUUGUACUAUCAUACCUACGCUUAGGAUGUUGAGUCGUAGAGCACGCAG